AUACGGAGGAUCCGAGCGUUAUCCGGAUUUAUUGGGUUUAAAGGGUGCGCAGGCGGCCAUUUAAGUCAGCGGUUAAAUCGUGGGGCUCAACCCCAUUCUGCCGUUGAUACUGGGUGGCUUGAUUGCGGUCGAGGUUGGCGGAAUUCGUUGUGUAGCGGUGAAAUGCAUAGAUAUGACGAAGAACACCGAUUGCGUAGGCAGCUGACCAGACCGCAAAUGACGCUCAUGCACGAAAGUGCGGGGAUCGAACAGGAUUAGAUACCCUGGUAGUCCGCACAGUAAACGAUGAAUACUUGUUUUCGGCGAUAUAAUGUCGGAGGCAAAGCGAAAGCGAUAAGUAUUCCACCUGGGGAGUACGCCAGCAACGUUGAAACUCAAAUGAAUGGGCGGGG
This 392-nucleotide ribosomal RNA is filed under the name uncultured bacterium. Its description in RNAcentral is "partial 16S ribosomal RNA". It matches the Rfam family "Bacterial small subunit ribosomal RNA", at positions 523 to 918 of the family's 1533-position model. The record is from RNAcentral.